AGCUUUGUGCAGUGGCAGUAUCGUAGCCAAUGAGGUUUAUCCGAGGCGCAAUUAUUGCUAAUUUAAAAAUAUAUAUAUAUAUAUGUAUAGUAAAAUAUAUAUAUUUUGUAUAUAUAUGUAUGUA
RNAcentral lists this small nuclear RNA (124 nucleotides) under Callithrix jacchus (white-tufted-ear marmoset). Its description in RNAcentral is "U4 spliceosomal RNA (ENSCJAG00000061633.2)". It matches the Rfam family "U4 spliceosomal RNA". Rfam says of the family: U4 small nuclear RNA (U4 snRNA) is a component of the major U2-dependent spliceosome. Lineage: Eukaryota; Metazoa; Chordata; Mammalia; Primates; Cebidae. The record is from Rfam by way of RNAcentral.